UUCGAGCAUGAUCGGCCUUGACAGUGU
This 27-nucleotide non-coding RNA is filed under the name Bombyx mori (domestic silkworm). The record is from RNAcentral. Lineage: Eukaryota; Metazoa; Arthropoda; Insecta; Lepidoptera; Bombycidae.